GGUAUACUCCCUCCGUCCGGAAAUACUUGUCUUCAAAAUAGAUAAAAGGGGAUGUAUCUAGACGUAUUUUAGUUCUAGAUACAUCUCAUUUUAUCCAUUUUGAUGACCAGUAUUUUCGUACGGAGGGAGUAAUAC
This is a non-coding RNA of Triticum aestivum (bread wheat), 135 nucleotides long. Lineage: Eukaryota; Viridiplantae; Streptophyta; Magnoliopsida; Poales; Poaceae. The record is from Rfam.